AAGUGAAACCGCGAAUGGCUCAUUAAAUCAGUUAUGGUUCCUUAGAUCGUACCUAACUACUUGGAUAACUGUGGUAAUUCUAGAGCUAAUACAUGCAGCAGAGCUCCGACCUUCGGGGACGAGCGCUUUUAUUAGCCAAGACCAGUCGGGCCGCGUCCGUACAUAUGGUGACUCUGGAUAACUUUUGGCUGAUCGCACGGACUCGUUCCGGCGACGCAUCUUUCAAGUGUCUGCCUUAUCAACUGUCGACGGUUGGUUAAAUGCCUACCGUGGUUGUAACGGGUGACGGGGAAUCAGGGUUCGAUUCCGGAGAGGGAGCCUGAGAAACGGCUACCAGUUCUAAGGAAGGCAGCAGGCGCGCAAAUUACGCCAUGGGAGUCUCCCGACGUAGUGACGAAAAAUAACAAUACGGGACUCUUUUGAGACCCCGUAAUUGGAAUGAGUACAAUCUAAAUCCUUUAACGAGGAUCUAUUGGAGAGCAAGCCUAGUGCCAGCCGUCGCGGUAAUACUAGUUCCAAUAGCGUAUAUUAAAGUUGUUGCGGUUAAAAAGCUCGUAGUUGGAUCUCAGUUCCAGUCGUGCGCUCCGCCUACCGGUGGUAAGCGCACGUUCUGAACAGUCAGUCGGUUUCCCUAGAUGAUCUUCACCGGUUGUCCUGGGUGACCGGCACGUUUACCUUGAAAAAAUUAGAGUGCUCAAAGCAGGCGUGACGCCUGAACAUUGGUGCAUGGAAUAAUGGAAUAGGACCUCGGUUCUAUUUUGUUGGUUUUCUGAAUAUGAGGUAAUGAUUAAGAGGAACAGACGGGGUCAUUAGUACAUUACAGCUAGGGGUGAAAUCCAGUGAACUGUAAUUGACUGACAAGAGCGAAAGCAUUUGACAAGAAUGCUUCCUUUGAUCAAGAACGAAAGUUGGGGGUUUGAAGUCGAUCAGAUACCGACCUAAUCUUAACUAUAAACGAUGCCAACCAGCGAUCCGCCUGAGUUCCUCAAAUGACUCGGCGGGCAGCUCCCGGGAAACCACAAG
RNAcentral lists this ribosomal RNA (1023 nucleotides) under Masirana bonghwaensis. RNAcentral describes it as "SSU rRNA". It matches the Rfam family "Eukaryotic small subunit ribosomal RNA", at positions 79 to 1103 of the family's 1831-position model. Lineage: Eukaryota; Metazoa; Arthropoda; Arachnida; Araneae; Leptonetidae. The record is from RNAcentral.